UCGAUUGUAAACAGUACAAAUAAAAAAAUCCUGAUGCAGCCUUAAGCACUCAAGCCAUUGCAUUUACCAAGUUUCAAGUGCUACAAAAAAUUCCCACAAAAAAUACAGUAAGAACUCACCAAAGAUCCAGCCCAAGAUUGGUAGCAAAUAGGCUCAGCAACAAGACUCUACGGUUGGCAAAACAAGAACUCUACGCUCGGCAAAUAGGCUCAGCAACAAGAUCCCCUCCAAGCACUCAACGAAAACAGUGACCAAGGCACUCAGAUCGGCAGCAACAAGGCUCUACGUUCGGUAAAUAGGCUCAGCAACAAGAUCCGGUCCAAGAACUCACCAAAAAAGUGAGUGCAUACACCUAUUCCCCAAAUAAAA
RNAcentral lists this long non-coding RNA (369 nucleotides) under Theobroma cacao (cacao). RNAcentral's name for it is "long non-coding RNA (TCAC_LNC002852)". The record is from RNAcentral. Lineage: Eukaryota; Viridiplantae; Streptophyta; Magnoliopsida; Malvales; Malvaceae.